CGAGAUGUCAAAACAGCCUCCAGGUUCUGCCAAGCCAUCCAGUGAGUGUGGGGCUGCCCGAGCCCAUCACCAGCUUAGAUGAACAGCUUAGAGGCUGUCCCUGCCCCAACAGGGAAGAGCAGACACAGGUGCUGGCAACGGGAAGACAGAAGCACACAGCUCAGAGAAGUGGAGGUUCUAUGAGGAAACAAUGACACCAAAGUCAGGGUCAGGCCUGAGCCCUUUGUACAUAGCAUCCUUCUAUCUGUGGGGCUAUUUGUAAAGGACCAGCAUUACCUUUUGGGGCGAUCUGGCUGAAUUUAAGUGAGGACUUUAGCCUUCUCUGCCCUCUGUGCCCCCAAGGGCACUGCCUCUGUGGGGGCUGUGGCACGACUUCAGUGAAGGCUGGAGGAACAGAGUUACACCAGCUGGACUCUAAUGUGGAAUCACUAAAAGUUUCCAGUACUUAGAGGGAAGCACUAAUUGGAUAAUGUGAGGGACAGCUAACGGAACCAGGCCCAACCAGCUUUAAAUGACUUUUGCAUUUUUAAAAAGGGUAGCAUGGCAUGGAAAAAUAUUGAAAGAAGUCAUGCUAAAAAUUAACAAUAUUUAUCUUUGAAGGGUGCGAUUACAGGUGGCUUUUUUAUUUUCACUAUAUUGUCUAAGUUUUCUGUAUUAAGCAUGUAUUACUCUUAUAAGUUUAAAAACAUUGUAUAAGCAUUAUAUGGUAGUUCAUCAGUUCAAUCCAAGAAAAUGGGGGAGAGUUUUCUUGGGCCGUGCUUUAGUUUGGGAGGAAACCAGCUUUGAGGUCAUUGCUGUUUCUGGGGCAGGAAAGAGAGUGAUGCCCUUGGGAAAACACCAGCCUAGGAGUGCCGGGGGGCCGCCUGGAGCAGAUGUGCCCAGCGAAGCCUCACAGGCUGCUCUGCCCAGCCCGCCUCCGCGGCGACUUGAUGGAAAGACAGUUUCCAAAUACAAAGCAAAAUCUAUUGACAGAGGCAUCAGGCCAAGGCCUGCAGCCACUGAGCAGCCACCAGGCAGACUGUGGAGGAGGUGACUGGUCCCAGGGACACCCUACCAUGUGGCCACAUUUUGGCAUCUCUGUCCACAAACUCUAAUUUAUAGCUGUCUGGGAUCAUCUUCCCAGACGGAAUACAUUUGUCCACUUCUGGAACACAUGUGUUUGAUGCAUAAUGGAAAAUUAAAAGAGAGGUUGCAAUUUAAAGCCAUGGGGCAAGGAGAAAAAAUCUGCAUUUGCUCAUCCACGCCCCCCAACCCAAGCCACACGGGUUUCCUCCUAGGUCAAGGAAACUGUGGCUCAGCCGAACGUCAUCGCGUGCGGAGGGAAUCCUCCCAGCAUGCAGCUGCUGGCUGUGUCAGGAACACCGUGGGCGAGGAGCCGGUGAGCCCCGAGGUUACUGAUGACGAGAGUGAUCAUGGCUGUGGAAAGCGGCAUCGACAGAGACCAUGUAGCUCUUUGGUCCUUUCAAAUUCACCAUUCUAGUAAGGCUCUUGAAAUACUCUGGACUUUGGUUGAUCUACCACACACCAGAACUCGCUUGAAAAAAUUCACACCAAUUCCAGUCCAGUCAGGAACAAAGUGAGCAAGUCUAGUGACAUUAAACCCUGUUAUCCUGUGCGUCCUAUACCUGGGAAGAGGUGUCUCACUGAGUGAGCCGAGGGGAGGCUUCAGGCCCCUCCAACCCGAAUUUGUAACCCUUCUAGACCAAACCCCCUCCUCUUUUUAAUCUGAGCCACUCUGUUGCAUUUAGACGUAACACUGCACUUCUGCCAACGGUAGACCAAAUAAGGAUCAAGAGCUCUCCCUUUUCGUCCCUUUCCUUCUCUUGCCCCCGCCAUCAUCCCCUUUCCCUUUUUCUCUGUCUGUCAGGGAAUCAACUGGGAUCCCGGAGGUGCAGUGCUAAGCACUAGGGAAACAACGACAAGGAAGACAGGACUCACAGUCUAACACGCAAGAUAACUCGUAAACUAAUAAAUGCAAUACGUGCAGGAAGUGUGCUCAGGGGAAGAGCAUCACAUCGCCCAGAGAUCAAAGUGCCACAGCCGGUGUACAGCGGAAGACACUCCAUUUAGAUUUACAUCUUUGAAGAAUGAGUUAGAAGUCACGGAGCACGGAGGGUCUGGAGGGAGGAGUGAAUGCCAGGCAGAGGGAACAGCGCAGGAAUGGACUUUUUCAGACAACAGCAUGAGUUGGGCUUUGAUGUUAAUCAUUUAAUAAACAUUUAUUGAGCGCCUAUUGUGAGCCAGGAGCCAAGGACUCAUACAUAAGGAAGAUCCAGUUCCUUCUCCAGAGGAUCUCAGCGGCUCACGGAGAAGCUGAUCCCCACUGGGCAGUCCAGGAGGGACAUUAACCCUGCAGGCUCCAGAACUGUGAGAAAUAAACUCCUGUUGUGUAAGCCACCCAUUUUUUUUUAUGGCAACCUGACCUAAGACAGACUGACAGGACCAACUUUGAACAACUUCCCUCACAGCCCUCCAAGGGAAUACUUCGAGAAGUUCUACAAAUCUUCUUCAACUUCUGAUGGGGUGACGUCCCAGUAAAUCCAUCGGUGAACACCAUGUGUACAAACAGCCCAGCUCAUUUGCAGUUCUCUUCUUUGGGAUGAAGUCACACGAAGUUGGAAAUAACACUUCAACCCUAGAGUUUUCAUUAAAAGCUUUUAAGCUAAUACUUGCUCUUGGUGGCAAUUCCCAUCCUAGAUGGAAUCAGCAGGCAAAAGUCAAAGCACAUUUGCUUUGGAAGAUGAUACUCAUUUUCUCAAAGAGAAAAGCUAGCGCCCAAGAUUUUCAUCCUAUUAUGCCGUGAAAGCAAGGCAAGGAUUCAGAUGGCACUUUCUCAAAAUCAAGGAUUUUGUCAGAAGAAAUAGAAGAGCCAAAUGCCAUAUGACAUCCAUGCGAAGCUACCUCCGAGGAACCCUGCUGCCCUUGCCUCAACAUCAGGACCAGGUGCUGAGGACGGAAGGAGGCCACCAGCAGGACACUGUCCCCGCCUGCAAGGAGCAAAGACACCAGAGAGGAAGCAAACCACAAUCAAAGGCCAAAUGGAGCACUUAGUAAAGGCGCGAGUGCCUCAAGGCCAAGGACUGUGUCUUACUGGUUUUGAAAGCCCAGCGUGUGGCAGGGGGCCGGGACGUAGCAGGUGGUCAGCACAUGUUUGCUGAGUGACUGACUGCAGAGGAGGGAACCUCCCCUUUGACUCCUUGUCCUUCAUAAGCUACGAGACUCCUGCUGCUGUGCUUGGUUGGUUGGGCCUAGGACACCUACUGCCCACUUCUCCUUACUUUUACGAACCUUUUGGAUUCUGGAUUCUUCUUGCACUUCUAGUGUUUAAACACGACUACUACUAAUAUCUUCUGUUAUUGAGUAUUUACCACCCACAUGUACCAUACUUACUACUUUACACACAUGAACUCAUUAUCCGCACAAAGAUCAUAGAUUGAUGUUGGUACUUGAUCACGUCCAUUUUACAGAUGAGAAAACUGAGGCUCGAAGAGGUUAAACAACUUGCCCAAGGUCCCCUAGUUGGUAAAUAGUACAGCCAGGAAUAAACCCAGGCAGUGCGAUGCCAGUAUCCACCUUCUAGGCUUUGAAUCCCUGUAUUUGAAUUGCCACGCUGCAGACUGUCUGCAGACUGGCCCCUGUCACAGACUCCUAGUCCCUCCCAGUCCACACUGGCGGAGGCUGGCCCCUCUCGUCCACACUGCAGGAGGCUGGCCACUGCUGCUCUCUUCCCACCUUGACAGAAAUCAGAAAUGAAGACUAUCCUACAAGAAGGCCAAGGAAAUCCCUAUCUGCUUUCUGGGGUGGUCUAGCUUUUGGGUGAACCUGGAGGAAUACUUUCUUCAGGGAUUUAUUUUUUCCUGAGGAAGAUUGUCACUGAGCUAAGAUCUGUGCCAAUCUUCCUCUAUUUGAUAUGGAAUGCCACCACAGCAUGGCUUCAUGAGCGAUGCUAGGUCUGCUCCCGGGAUCCAAACUGCAAACCUCAGGCUGCCAAAGCAGAGCCCAUGAAACUAAGCACUACGCCAGGCUGGCGCCUUCAGCUCUUUUUUUUUAACCAAUCUUUCUCAUAGAUCUGAAGUUACUGUUUGAGGUAAGUUUGGGAAAGAGAGGCAGGCAACCUUGGUCAGCUUCUGUGGAGUCAAACAUCUUUCACUCCAAAGCCCAGGAGACACUGUCUUUCCUAAAAGCACUUGUCAGACAUCGCCAAGUGAAACCCCAAGGCUGCAUUAAUCAUGGCGAGAAGGAAAGGAGAACAACUUCAAACAAGCCAUAUAUGGCAUCUGACUUUCUACAAUGAACAGUCCUGCUUCCUGUUGGUCGGUAGCCCUGAGCAGCUCAUACAGCACAAUGAUAGGAAAACGCUGAGCACACGACAAUAAGCCAAGGCAUAAACAGCGCCCAAGGUUUUCUUUAAACCAACAGAUGCGGCUUGGUGGACUGUGGUGUGUUAUUUAUAUUGCUAUGCAACGGAGGGAAAAAAUAAAGGUGCUUUCAGUGAAAGGCAGGGACUCUGCCAUGCUAUCUGACUGUGGUGUCAGACACCACAGUCAAUUCAGACGCCACAGAUGCUGGGAGGGGCUUCAUGUUAGACACCAACCAUGAUAACAGAAAUUAACUUAGUGGGGUUCACGGCUAGGCUUUACUUUUGUUUCUGAAUAUGGUGAAUACAGUCGGCGGCCCUGGGCCAGGGAGUGCUGUGCCGGCUCAGGCAGGAUCCAGUGGAUGUUUAUAAGAUCAGGAGCGCAGCCCAGGGAAACUUCAACCAAGUUGCCAGGAGGUUGCAAAUCCACUUGUCAAACUGCGGAUCACAAAACAUACCCCACCCCCGCCUCCGUGCCAGCCUUCUGGUGAGUUCCUGACAGGAAAGGAAGUGCUGCCACAGAGAGGGACCUUAUACCUUAGAAGGGCAGGCACGCCAGCAUCGAAGGGUGUGUGUAAAUACCACGCUUGAAGUCACAGCGACAGCCGAUCCCUCCAGGAAAACGUCCCCCACCCUCUGCCCCUUCCCCACACUUCCCAGAAACCCCUCCAAUCAGGAAAAACAACUUCAGAAACCAGGGCAGGGCUUUUCUGGAAUCUGGUUCCCUCAGUUACAGUCAAGGUAGAUAUCUGGAUAAUUUAUCCCAAACAACUGCUUUCCCCUAAAUCAUUAGGUACCCGUCUCAGGGCGCCCCUUUCCCUUUGGUCAUGUAUGUACAGACGUGGGAAGGCUGCCUGCAACUGCCGCUCUUCCAAGACCCUGGGUUCCCACCCACCAAGGAACUGGGAGAGAGGAAGGCCCCACCUUCCCCUGCUGGGCUCAAUCUGUGUGAACAAUCGAAAGGUAAUGAGCAGGAAGAGAUAGGCUCAGUCCUCCAGAUAAAGUUGAUAACUGAUCACCUGUGCAAAUCAGGAAGGCCAUUUGUACCAAGUUCUCUAAACUGCAGACUCAUCAAUUCACUGCACGGCUAUUUACCAGUGCCUCCUACAUGCUGGGCACUGUUCUAGGCACUAGGGCACAGCUGUGAACAAAACAGAAAAGAAUUCCUUCUCUCAGUGUUCUCAGUUCUAGUGGGGAAAAUCCGCAAGUACAAACUGGGAAGAUAACGUGCAGUUAUCCUAAAUGAAGACAAGCUGCUAGUCACUUGGCAAACAUCUACACUAUUCCCCAACACUGUGGGCCUCAGAAAAGAGAGCUAACUUUUACUGAAUGCUUCCUAUGUGCCAGUCACUGAAUGAUAAUAUUUUCUUUUUUUCACUUUUCUUUUUGGAGGAAGAUUAGC
Equus caballus (horse) is the source of this 5759-nucleotide non-coding RNA. Lineage: Eukaryota; Metazoa; Chordata; Mammalia; Perissodactyla; Equidae. The record is from RefSeq and is a predicted model, not a curated record.